This 523-nucleotide long non-coding RNA is filed under the name Mus pahari (shrew mouse). RNAcentral describes it as "lncRNA (MGP_PahariEiJ_G0005141.1)". The record is from RNAcentral. Lineage: Eukaryota; Metazoa; Chordata; Mammalia; Rodentia; Muridae.
UGGGAAGGGUUCCUAGCCAUGUGGGAUCGCUCUGUCAUCCCUUUUCAAGGCUGAAGGAAUAUCACGGAGCUGGAAGAGGAGGCUGUAGAACUCUGUAGUCUGAGUAUGCCGUGUCCACAGCAGUCAUCUAGUGAGGAGUGGCUGGAAUGAAGCUCUCCGUGACAGGGACGGAAGCCAUACUAUAAAGGCUCCCACAGCACAGAAGGAAAAAAGGGAAAGCUCUGGGGCCAUCAGGAUCUCCCUUCUCUUCCAGAUCAGUUACCAGUUACCCUCAGGCAACAUACUUGUGCUAAAGAAAAGCCAUGAAGAAAAGCAGCCUUCCUUGGAGAAGAGUCAGUGUUCUCUGCUGUGAUCGAUCGGGUACUGCUCCUUAUUAGGCAUGCCUACCCCACUGCAUACGCUGUGGGUCCCUGAGAACCGUUCCCUACUGGGCAUGCUCCCAUCCAGCCCUCCAGGCUGGCUUUGCAUUGGUUUUCCCCACAGGUGUUCUCUUGCACUGUUAACUGCUGGCUCUUUCCCCCAU